GCCAGUGUGGUGUAGUUGUCUGAGUGUUGGACUAUAACUCGGGAGAUCAGGGUUCAAAUCCUUGCUUGGGCA
Non-coding RNA from Phrynosoma platyrhinos (Desert horned lizard), 72 nucleotides. NCBI's taxonomy places the organism in Eukaryota, Metazoa, Chordata, Lepidosauria, Squamata, Phrynosomatidae. The record is from the annotation of a GenBank genome assembly.